GCUUCCGUAGCUCAGUUGGUUAGAGCUUCGUACUAAUAUUAGACUUCAUCGUCUAGCCUUAGUAAUGCGAAGGUCGCAGGUUCAAGCCCUGCCGGGAGCA
RNAcentral lists this transfer RNA (100 nucleotides) under Trichoderma virens Gv29-8. RNAcentral's name for it is "tRNA-Ile for anticodon AAU". It matches the Rfam family "tRNA". From Rfam's summary of the family: Transfer RNA (tRNA) molecules are approximately 80 nucleotides in length. Their secondary structure includes four short double-helical elements and three loops (D, anti-codon, and T loops). Lineage: Eukaryota; Fungi; Ascomycota; Sordariomycetes; Hypocreales; Hypocreaceae. The record is from Rfam by way of RNAcentral.